UACAGAGGUAGCUAGCGUUGUUCGGAAUGACUGGGUGUAAAGAACAUGUAGGCGGUUUUGUAAGUUGAAUGUGAAAUCCUUCAGCUUAACUGAAGAAUUGCAUUCAAUACUGCAUUACUUGAGUACGGGAGAGGAAAGUGGAAUUUCUGGUGUAGCGGUAAAAUGCGUAGAUAUCAGAAGGAACACCUGUGGCGAAGGCGACUUUCUGGCCCGUAACUGACGCUGAGAUGUGAAAGCUAGGGGAG
Molecule: ribosomal RNA, 245 nt
Filed under: uncultured bacterium
Lineage: Bacteria
Description: partial 16S ribosomal RNA
Rfam family: Bacterial small subunit ribosomal RNA
Source: RNAcentral